This 222-nucleotide long non-coding RNA is filed under the name Lathyrus oleraceus (garden pea). Its description in RNAcentral is "Pisum sativum (pea) long non-coding RNA (PSAT_LNC017910)". Lineage: Eukaryota; Viridiplantae; Streptophyta; Magnoliopsida; Fabales; Fabaceae. The record is from RNAcentral.
UAUGGUGUAGUAGAAUAGCAUUCAUGGCAAUUCAAAAAUAUAACAAUAGCAAAUAUAAUAAACAAAACAAAAAAAAAUUAAUAAUAACAAAAUUUAUUAAGCUUCCACGCAUGCCAUGUCACGAGCGUAGUGACCGUUGCAUGCUCACGAGCGUGACAGCGUGUUUCCUCGUAAACGUUGUUGACCGUUAAGGUCAUGACCGUUGCUCCAUCUCCCCAUUCA